RNAcentral lists this ribosomal RNA (253 nucleotides) under uncultured bacterium. RNAcentral's name for it is "partial 16S ribosomal RNA". It matches the Rfam family "Bacterial small subunit ribosomal RNA", at positions 524 to 776 of the family's 1533-position model. The record is from RNAcentral.
UACGAAGGGGGCUAGCGUUGCUCGGAAUCACUGGGCGUAAAGGGCGCGUAGGCGGCCAUUCAAGUCGGGGGUGAAAGCCUGUGGCUCAACCACAGAAUUGCCUUCGAUACUGUUUGGCUUGAGUUUGGCAGAGGUUGGUGGAACUGCGAGUGUAGAGGUGAAAUUCGUAGAUAUUCGCAAGAACACCAGUGGCGAAGGCGGCCAACUGGACCAACACUGACGCUGAGGCGCGAAAGCGUGGGGAGCAAACAGG